UGGGGAAUAUUGCACAAUGGGCGCAAGCCUGAUGCAGCCAUGCCGCGUGUGUGAAGAAGGCCUUCGGGUUGUAAAGCACUUUCAGCGAGGAGGAAGGUGGUGAGCUUAAUACGCUCAUCAAUUGACGUUACUCGCAGAAGAAGCACCGGCUAACUCCGUGCCGGCAGCCGCGGUAAUACGGAGGGUGCAAGCGUUAAUCGGAAUUACUGGGCGUAAAGCGCACGCAGGCGGUUUGUUAAGUCAGAUGUGAAAUCCCCGGGCUCAACCUGGGAACUGCAUUUGAAACUGGCAAGCUAGAGUCUCGUAGAGGGGGGUAGAAUUCCAGGUGUAGCGGUGAAAUGCGUAGAGAUCUGGAGGAAUACCGGUGGCGAAGGCGGCCCCCCUGGACGAAGACUGACGCUCAGGUGCGAAAGCGUGGGGCAGCAAACAGGAUUAGAUACCCUGGUAGUCCACGCUGUAAAACGAUGUCGAUUUGGAGGUUGUGCCCUUGAGGCGUGGCUUCCGGAGCUAACGCGUUAAA
RNAcentral lists this ribosomal RNA (520 nucleotides) under uncultured bacterium. RNAcentral describes it as "partial 16S ribosomal RNA". It matches the Rfam family "Bacterial small subunit ribosomal RNA", at positions 355 to 864 of the family's 1533-position model. The record is from RNAcentral.